Molecule: non-coding RNA, 64 nt
Filed under: Paenalicyclobacillus macrosporangiidus
Lineage: Bacteria; Bacillati; Bacillota; Bacilli; Caryophanales; Alicyclobacillaceae
Description: Alicyclobacillus macrosporangiidus Fluoride sequence
Rfam family: Fluoride riboswitch aptamer (crcB RNA motif)
Source: Rfam by way of RNAcentral
AUCGAAUCCGGUGAUGGAGCUCACCGUAUAAAUGCCCAUUGAGGAUGAUGGCUCCUGUGCAUCU